Molecule: ribosomal RNA, 306 nt
Filed under: Triticum aestivum (bread wheat)
Lineage: Eukaryota; Viridiplantae; Streptophyta; Magnoliopsida; Poales; Poaceae
Description: partial small subunit ribosomal RNA
Source: RNAcentral
AUGGGAAGCUUAUGUAAUCUUAUGCUUGUCACCUACCUGAGGUUUGAAAGUUUGAGCAGAACUAUGCUACUACAUACAGUACAAUUUUGUUCCAACCUGCCUGACAAUCUGUAUCGAGCUUGUGAUUUUCUUGGACAAGCUUUGGAGGUGGUGAAAAUAUGGAAUUUGGGUACAUACUCUACUUGCUGUAGAACUGUAGAACACAUGCCUCCAACAGAUCAUGGGAAACACAACCUGCAUCAGAUCGUCGUGACUCAACCCGCUGAAAUGCAGGUUGCCCAGAAACACAACCUGUUUGGUACUUAA